GUAGAUAAACAAUAAAGAUAUUGCCUCUGGCAUAACCAUUUUGUUUGAUAACUUGUGAAUCGUCCAUAACAAAAUAAAGUUCAGAUUUAACAGUAAAUUAUAUUUUUGAAUUAUACGAAAGGUUCCGGCGAUUGAAAAGCAGAAGAUGAAUACCAAGGUUACAGUUCUAGCAUUUACAUUGGUACUAUUGUUCCAAGGAUACGUAGCACUUGAUUCAUGUGCGACGCCUGGGUUCUACCUGUCCAGUGAUAAUAACUAUUGUUUCGCCUACUCUG
Long non-coding RNA from Ruditapes philippinarum (Manila clam), 275 nucleotides. RefSeq lists it as uncharacterized. The record is from RefSeq and is a predicted model, not a curated record. NCBI's taxonomy places the organism in Eukaryota, Metazoa, Mollusca, Bivalvia, Venerida, Veneridae. The transcript has 3 exons.